This 501-nucleotide ribosomal RNA is filed under the name uncultured Veillonellaceae bacterium. Its description in RNAcentral is "bacterial SSU rRNA". It matches the Rfam family "Bacterial small subunit ribosomal RNA", at positions 369 to 861 of the family's 1533-position model. The record is from RNAcentral. Lineage: Bacteria; Bacillati; Bacillota; Negativicutes; Veillonellales; Veillonellaceae.
CAAUGGACGAAAGUCUGACGGAGCAACGCCACGUGAGUGAUGAAGGUCUUCGGAUUGUAAAGCUCUGUUAAUCGGGACGAAAGAGUUCUGUGUAAAUAAUGCAGAAAAGUGACGGUACCGGAAUAGAAAGCCACGGCUAGCUACGUGCCAGCAGCCGCGGUAAUACGUAGGUGGCAAGCGUUGUCCGGAAUUAUUGGGCGUAAAGCGCGCGCAGGCGGCCUAUCCAGUCUGUCUUAAAAGUUCGGGGCUCAACCCCGUGAUGGGAUGGAAACUAGUAGGCUAGAGUAUCGGAGAGGAAAGCGGAAUUCCUAGUGUAGCGGUGAAAUGCGUAGAUAUUAGGAAGAACACCAGUGGCGAAGGCGGCUUUCUGAACGAAAACUGACGCUGAGGCGCGAAAGCCAGGGGAGCGAACGGGAUUAGAUACCCCGGUAGUCCUGGCCGUAAACGAUGGGUACUAGGUGUAGGAGGUAUCGACCCCUUCUGUGCCGGAGUUAACGCAAU